GACGAACGCUGGCGGCGUGCCUAAUACAUGCAAGUAGAACGCUGAAGCUUGGUGCUUGCACCGAGCGGAUGAGUUGCGAACGGGUGAGUAACGCGUAGGUAACCUGCCUGGUAGCGGGGGAUAACUAUUGGAAACGAUAGCUAAUACCGCAUAACAGUAGAUGUUGCAUGACAUUUGCUUAAAAGGUGCAAUUGCAUCACUACCAGAUGGACCUGCGUUGUAUUAGCUAGUUGGUGGGGUAACGGCUCACCAAGGCGACGAUACAUAGCCGACCUGAGAGGGUGAUCGGCCACACUGGGACUGAGACACGGCCCAGACUCCUACGGGAGGCAGCAGUAGGGAAUCUUCGGCAAUGGACGGAAGUCUGACCGAGCAACGCCGCGUGAGUGAAGAAGGUUUUCGGAUCGUAAAGCUCUGUUGUAAGAGAAGAACGAGUGUGAGAGUGGAAAGUUCACGCUGUGACGGUAUCUUACCAGAAAGGGACGGCUAACUACGUGCCAGCAGCCGCGGUAAUACGUAGGUCCCGAGCGUUGUCCGGAUUUAUUGGGCGUAAAGCGAGCGCAGGCGGUUAGAUAAGUCUGAAGUUAAAGGCUGUGGCUUAACCAUAGUACGCUUUGGAAACUGUUUAACUUGAGUGCAAGAGGGGAGAGUGGAAUUCCAUGUGUAGCGGUGAAAUGCGUAGAUAUAUGGAGGAACACCGGUGGCGAAAGCGGCUCUCUGGCUUGUAACUGACGCUGAGGCUCGAAAGCGUGGGGAGCAAACAGG
This 765-nucleotide ribosomal RNA is filed under the name uncultured Streptococcus sp. Its description in RNAcentral is "bacterial SSU rRNA". It matches the Rfam family "Bacterial small subunit ribosomal RNA", at positions 28 to 776 of the family's 1533-position model. The record is from RNAcentral. Lineage: Bacteria; Bacillati; Bacillota; Bacilli; Lactobacillales; Streptococcaceae.